GGGCCCGCACAAGCGGUGGAGUAUGUGGUUUAAUUCGAUGCAACGCGAAGAACCUUACCAGUCCUUGACAUGGGUAGUUUGGUUAUUGGAGACAAUUUCCUUCAGUUCGGCUGGCUACCACACAGGUGCUGCACGGCUGUCGUCAGCUCGUGUCGUGAGAUGUUGGGUUAAGUCCCGCAACGAGCGCAACCCUCAUCUUUAGUUGCCAUCGGUUCGGCCGGGAACUAUAAGGGGACUGCCGGUGAUAAACCGGAGGAAGGUGAGGACGACGUCAAGUCAUCAUGGCCCUUACGUGUAGGGCUACACACGUGCUACAAUGGGGAGUACAGAUAGACGCUAAAGCGCGAGCUGGUGCUAAUCUCAUAAAACUCUUCGUAGUCCGGAUUGCAGUCUGCAACUCGACUGCAUGAAGUCGGAAUCGCUAGUAAUCG
This 431-nucleotide ribosomal RNA is filed under the name uncultured bacterium. Its description in RNAcentral is "bacterial SSU rRNA". It matches the Rfam family "Bacterial small subunit ribosomal RNA", at positions 917 to 1344 of the family's 1533-position model. The record is from RNAcentral.